Molecule: long non-coding RNA, 3407 nt
Organism: Mytilus californianus (California mussel)
Lineage: Eukaryota; Metazoa; Mollusca; Bivalvia; Mytilida; Mytilidae
Exons: 3
Source: RefSeq, a predicted model, not a curated record
GUGGGGGGCCAAUUUUUCUCAUUUCAGAUUUCAGAAAUUAAAAAGAAUUAUUCUUCAAAUAUUAUUUUUUUUUCAAAUUUCAAAUAUUGAAAAAUUUCAAGAAGUAAUCUUUAAUUGCACAGUAUGGCGCAUUAGAUUUGUAAAAUCUUUGAUCACAUUUAUUUAUUUGUUAUGCCGAAUCUAACAGUGUAUUUAGAUUUUUAAUUUUGGGUCCAGUUUUCAAAUUGGUCUACAUUAAUGUCCAAAGGGUCCAAAAUUAAACUUUGUUUGAUUUUAGCAAAAAUUGAAUAUAUGAGGUUCUUUGAUAUGCUGAAUCUAAACAUGUAUUUAGAUUUUUGAUUUUUGGCCCAGUUUUCAAGUUGGUCCAAAUUGGGGUCCAAAAUUAAACUUUGUUUGAUUUCAACAAAAAUUGAAUAUAUGGGGUUCUUUGAUAUGCUGAAUCUAACCAUGUAUUUAGAUUUUUUAUUUGUGGACCCCGUUAUCUAAUUGGUUCAUAUUGAGGUCAAAAGGGUCCAAAAUUAAACUUUGUUUGAUUUCAUCUAAAAUUGAAUUAUUGGGGUUCUUUGAUAUUCCAAAUCUAACCGUGUAUUGAGGUUUUUAAUUUUGGGUCCUGUUUUUUAAAUUGGUCUACAUUGAGGUCCAAAGGGUCCAAAAUUAAACUUAGUUUGAUUUUGACAAAAAUUUAAUUCUUGGGGUUCUUUGAUUUGCUGAAUCUAAACUUGUGUUUAGAUUUUUGAUUAUGGGCCCAGUUUUCAAGUUGGUCGAAGAUAGGGUCCAGUAUUUAAACUUUGUUUGAUUUCAACAAAAAUUGAAUAUAUGGGGUUCUUUGAUAUGCUGAAUCUAAACAUGUAUUUAGAUUUUUGAUUAUGGGCCCAGUUUUCAAGUUGGUCCAAAUUGGGGUCCAAAAUUAAACUUUGUUUGAUUUCAACAAAAAUUGAAUAUAUGAGGUUCUUUGAUAUGCUGAAUCUAACCAUGUAUUUAGAUUUUUUAUUUGUAGGCCCCCCUAUCAAAUUGGUUCAUAUUGAGGUCAAAAGGGUCCAAAAUUAAACUUUGUUUGAUUUCAUCGAAAAUUGAAUUAUUGGGGUUCUUUGAUAUGCCAAAUCUAACCGUGUUUUUAGAUUUUUAAUUUGGGUUCCGUUUUUUAAAUUGGUCUUCAUUGAGGUCCAAAGGGUCCAAAAUUAAACUUAGUUUGAUUUUAACAAAAAUUGAAUUCUUGGGGUUCUUUGAUAUGCUGAAUCUAAACAUGUGUUUAGAUUUUUGAUUAUGGGCCCAGUUUUCAAGUUGGUCCAAGUUGGGGUCCAAAAUUAAACUUUGUUUGAUUUCAACAAAAAUUGAAUAUAUGGGGUUCUUUGAUAUGCUGAAUCUAAACAUGUAUUUAGAUUUUAGAUUUUUGGCCCAGUUUUCAAGUUGGUCCAAAUUGGGGUCCAAAAUUAAACUUUGUUUGAUUUCAACAAAAAUUGAAUAUAUGGGGUUCUUUGAUAUGCUGAAUCUUACCAUGUAUUUAGAUUUUUUAUUUGUGGGCCCGCUAUCAAAUUGGUUCAUAUUGAGGUCAAAAGGGUCCAAAAUUAAACUUUGUUUGAUUUCAUCAAAAAUUUAAUUAUUGGGGUUCUUUGAUAUGCCAAAUCUAACUGUGUAUUUAGAUUUUUAAUUUUGGGUCCCGUUUUUUAAAUUGGUCUACCUUAAGGUCCAAAGGGUCCAAAAUUAAACUUAGUUUGAUUUUAACAAAAAUUGAAUUUUUGGGGUUCUUUGAUAUGCUGAAUCUAAACAUGUGUUUAGAUUUUUGAUUAUGGGACCAGUUUUCAAGUUGGUCCAAGUUGGGGUCCAAAAUUAAACUUUGUUUGAUUUCAACAAAAAUUGAAUAUAUGGGGUUCUUUGAUAUGCUGAAUCUAAACAUGUAUUUAGAUUUUAGAUUUUUGGCCCAGUUUUCAAGUUGGUCCAAAUUGGGGUCCAAAAUUAAACUUUGUUUGAUUUCAACAAAAAUUAAAUAUAUGGGGUUCUUUGAUAUGCUGAAUCUUACCAUGUAUUUAGAUUUUUUAUUUUGUGGGCCCGCUAUCAAAUUGGUUCAUAUUGAGGUCAAAAGGGUCCAAAAUUAAACUUUGUUUGAUUUCAUCAAAAAUUGAAUUAUUGGGGUUCUUUGAUAUGCCAAAUCUAACCGUGUUUUUAGAUUUUUAAUUUUGGGUCCCGUUUUUUAAAUUGGUCUACAUUAAGGUCCAAAGGGUCCAAAAUUAAACUUAGUUUGAUUUUAACAAAAAUUGAAUUCUUGGGGUACUUUGAUAUGCUGAAUCUAAACAUGUGUUUAGAUUUUUGAUUAUGGGACCAGUUUUCAAGUUUGUCCAAGUUGGGGUCCAAAAUUAAACUUUGUUUGAUUUCAACAAAAAUUGAAUAUAUGGGGUUCUUUGAUAUGCUGAAUCUAACCAUGUAUUUUGAUUUUGGGCAUUGGACCAUAAUAGGUAAAUUAAAAAAAUUGAAGUUCUUAGACCACAUUCUUUCUGUGUCAGAAACCUAUGCUGUGUCAAAUAUUUAAUCACAAUCCAAAUUCAGAGCUGUAUCAAGCUUGAAUGUUGUGUCCAUACUUGCCCCAACUGUUCAGGGUUCGACCUCUGCGGUCGUAUCAAGCUGCGCCCAGCGAAGCAUUUUAUUGAUUAUGGGCCCAGUUUUCAAGUUGGUCCAAGUUGGGGUCCAAAAUUAAACUUUGUUUGAUUUCAACAAAAAUUGAAAAUAUGGGGUUCUUUGAUAUGCUGAAUCUAACCAUGUAUUUUGAUUUUGGACAUUGGACCAUAAUAGGUAAAUUAAAAAAAUUCAAGUUCUUAGACCACAUUCUUUCUGUGUCAGAAACCUAUGCUGUGUCAAAUAUCUAAUAACAAUCCAAAUUCAGAGCUGUAUCAAGCUUGAAUGUUGUGUCCAUACUUGCCCCAACUGUUCAGGGUUCGACCUCUGCGGUCGUAUCAAGCUGCGCCCCAGCGAAGCAUUUUAUUCUAGUUUCAUGACAAUAACUUGUGUGUUAGUGUAUGGAUCUCUCUGACAUUGUAUCACAAGGUUCCAUAUCACAAAGGGAAUGCUGGGAUUGAUUUUAGGGGUAAUUGCCUUCAAAUUUUAGGAAUUAGGGGCCAAAAAGGGGCAAAAAACAAGCAUUUUUCUAGUUUCAUGACAAUAACUUGUAUGUAAGUGUAUGGAUCUUUAUGAAAUUGUACUACAAGGUUCCAUAUCACAAAGGGAAAGCUGGGUUUGAGUUUGGGGGUAUUUGCCCUAAAUGUUUAGGAAAUUGGGGCCAAAAAGGGGCCAAAAAACAAGCAUUUUUCUCGUUUCCAGACAAUAACUUGUGUUCAAGUGUAUGGAUCUCUCUGAAAUUGUACUGCAAGGUACCAUACCACAAAGAGAAGGCUGGGAUUGAGUUUGGGGGUGAUGAA